This 584-nucleotide ribosomal RNA is filed under the name uncultured Paracoccaceae bacterium. Its description in RNAcentral is "bacterial SSU rRNA". It matches the Rfam family "Bacterial small subunit ribosomal RNA", at positions 300 to 916 of the family's 1533-position model. The record is from RNAcentral. Lineage: Bacteria; Pseudomonadati; Pseudomonadota; Alphaproteobacteria; Rhodobacterales; Paracoccaceae.
UGGGUCGGCUGCAGUCGACGAUUCCUACGGGAGGCAGCAGUAACGAAUAUUCCGCAAUGCGCGAAAGCGUGACGGAGCAAUGCCGCGUGAAGGAUGAAGCACCUCGGUGUGUAAACUUCUGUCAGGGUUUAGGAAACUAAUGACCAUACCCAAAGGAAGAGCCGGCUAACUCUGUGCCAGCAGCCGCGGUAAUACGGAGGGGGUUAGCGUUGUUCGGAAUUACUGGGCGUAAAGCGCGCGUAGGCGGAUUGGAAAGUUGGGGGUGAAAUCCCGGGGCUCAACCCCGGAACUGCCUUCAAAACUCCCAGUCUAGAGUUCGAGAGAGGUGAGUGGAAUUCCGAGUGUAGAGGUGAAAUUCGUAGAUAUUCGGAAGAACACCAGUGGCGAAGGCGGCUCACUGGCUCGAUACUGACGCUGAGGUGCGAAAGUGUGGGGAGCAAACAGGAUUAGAUACCCUGGUAGUCCACACCGUAAACGAUGAAUGCCAGUCGUCGGAUAGUAUACUAUUCGGUGACACACCUAACGGAUUAAGCAUUCCGCCUGGGGAGUACGGUCGCAAGAUUAAAACUCAAAGGAAUUGACGG